UUCCAGCACAACUUUCUGUUGUCCCAAGGAGAGCAAGGGUUGUUUAAGACGUAAUGUGAUGUGCUAGCUGAACAGCACAGUCAAUAUCAACAAGUUGCAGUCACCUGAGCAUAGAGUCUGAAAGCCCACUAUCACACCACGUAAGGUGUUCCUGAGGAACAGAGGAAGAUCAGAGUGAUCUUUGAAAGGAUUUAGGUCUUCACCAGCACUGCUACAUUUCAGGAGGAAUUCCUCCCCUGCUCAAAACUGCUCUGUAUACAACUCAGAUACUCAAGAUAUGCACUGAGGAAAGGUACAUUUUACAGAGAUUCACGGGAGAAAAAACAAAAAACCCAAGCUUCACACUAGAUCAAUGAAACAUGUCUUAAAACAACUGGAUCCCAGUUCUCCAGCUGAAUAUCACCAUGGUACCUGGCUGGUCAUCAAAUACACAAAUUGCAGAAUGCAUAAUUUUUGUCCCUGUUCCUGCCCAGUGGAAAUUAGGAGAUUUCCCUAUUUUCAGACCACAUUUAGUUUGUGGGGUGUGAAUGAUGCUGGAGAGUUCAUCUGUAAGAGAGUGGCUGCUGUCUGGAAGCAGGAGAGCCCAGCUGCCAUGGAAACCAAGCCUUCCAAUGCCCUGAACUUGCAGCACCAGCCUUGGGAGAGGAUUCCAGUGGUGAAGCUCAAAGAAGGGGAUGUUGGAGGAGGUGUAAAGGUGGAGGAGUGGGAAGGUGUAAGGUUGACUGUGGCAUGAACAGGUCUAGGCUGUUCUGCCAAGGCACUGGACAAGGACCUUAAUCUGACAUACUGGAAACUUUAAAGAUCAGGUUUUUUCCUACAGAGAAAGUGCUGAGGUUAAGGGCUGCAAAUUGCAAGUUACAAGUUGAACACCAGAAGAAUCUUGGAAGGACAAAAGUUGUGGAAGGUGGAUUGAGAGAAAAAUACCAUUCACCUUUUGGGAACAACAGGUUUUUGUUUCUGCCCUCUUUACACUCUUUGAUAUCACAGACUGAAGGAGAAUAUACUCCAGAAGCUAUGAAACUGUCUUCCCGUUUGCACAUUUCCUGGGAAAGGGGCCUUAAAUCUGGCAAAGUGAAAUAUGUCACAACCUCCCAGUUAAAAAUCUCACUUUCUGUAUUACUAACCUGUCAUUAAUCCUGCAAGACGGAUGUUAACAAGACCUCACUGUUAAAUACAGCAUACUACAUAUGUUGGACAUCUGAUGUUCCUUCUCCUAACAGUAAUAUGGAAAACUUUCUUGGACUCCCCUCUCAAGAUCUGUGUCAGUGAAAACAGAUGGAAACGGAACUGUAAGUAGGACCAAUGACCCUGGUGUGAAGAUGAUGAGAAAACUUCACUUAGGAGGUGACUACAUCUACAGCUAUGCUAAAAAAGAUGGAACUGUACUUCCUUGAGACAAAGCUGAAAUAGGGUUUUCUGUGAAGAACUGAGCAGGUUAGACAACUGCAAUUCCAGAUAAAACACCAGCAGUUAAAGUUGUGUAAGUAAAAGUUGGGGAAAGAUCAUGCCUCCUGCACGCCACAGAAUAUACUCUGGCAUGGGCAAGUAGUAACAGGUAUCAAGCCAUGGUGCUAAUCCUUUUUCAUCAGGAUAAUGUCAUGUCCUGGUGCAUACAAGUUUCUAAAUGAUGACAUUGUGGUGACCUUUAGGAAGCCCUCUAAAAUCAUUAGGCCUAAUUCUUCUUGUGAUUAUAUUACUUGAACUUCAGAGCUACUGCACAGACUUUCAGGCAGUUGGUUUGGAUUUACAUCUCUCGAGCUGGCCUAUUAUUUCCUGUAUUGUUUCCAGUUGCAUGAAAUCAUCUGUGCACGUCCUCCAGGGCUGCUGGAACCCUCUGUCCUCCCCAGCACCACACAUGAUGCAAUGAGCCUCUGACGGAGGAGGAAAGCCGAGAAGUCCAUGUAGGGAAGCAGAUAAUUUCCUUUAGA
Long non-coding RNA from Corapipo altera (White-ruffed manakin), 1928 nucleotides. RefSeq lists it as uncharacterized. The transcript is spliced from 9 exons. Lineage: Eukaryota; Metazoa; Chordata; Aves; Passeriformes; Pipridae. The record is from RefSeq and is a predicted model, not a curated record.